Molecule: non-coding RNA, 173 nt
Organism: Cyphellophora europaea CBS 101466
Lineage: Eukaryota; Fungi; Ascomycota; Eurotiomycetes; Chaetothyriales; Cyphellophoraceae
Source: the annotation of a RefSeq genome assembly
GGUUCCUUAGCUCAGUUGGUUAGGUACGAAUUUUCUCUCUGCCCUACCCGUCGCUAAGACAUGAUAAAGUAAAUCAUGCUAACAUACCCUGUUCUAGAGCGUCGUGCUAAUAGUUGUCACCUGACAAUACUGAGAGUACGCGAAGGUCGCGGGUUCGACCCCCGUAGGAACCA